UCCAGACUCCUACGGGAGGCAGCAGUGGGGAAUAUUGCACAAUGGAGGAAACUCUGAUGCAGCGAUGCCGCGUGAGGGAAGAAGGUUUUCGGAUUGUAAACCUCUGUCUUAAGGGACGAUAAUGACGGUACCUUAGGAGGAAGCUCCGGCUAACUACGUGCCAGCAGCCGCGGUAAUACGUAGGGAGCGAGCGUUAUCCGGAUUUAUUGGGUUUAAAGGGUGCGCAGGCGGAGGUGCAAGUCAGCGGUCAAAUUGCGGGGCUCAACCCCGUACUGCCGUUGAAACUGCAUCCCUUGAGUGCGCGAGAAGUAUGCGGAAUGCGUGGUGUAGCGGUGAAAUGCAUAGAUAUCACGCAGAACUCCGAUUGCGAAGGCAGCAUACCGGCACGCAACUGACGCUCAUGCACGAAAGCGUGGGUAUCGAACAGGAUUAGAUACCCGGGUA
This 444-nucleotide ribosomal RNA is filed under the name uncultured bacterium. RNAcentral's name for it is "bacterial SSU rRNA". It matches the Rfam family "Bacterial small subunit ribosomal RNA", at positions 330 to 792 of the family's 1533-position model. The record is from RNAcentral.